CACGAGUGUAUAUUAGAUUUGUUGUAGUUAAAAAGCUCGUAGUCGGAAAUAAGGAUAUUUUGAUAAUGAAAGCGGAGCGCACGUCGGCAAAUGUCGGCUGGCGCUCACUCUCAAUUUCGAUAUUCUUUUAAUGAGGAAUUAGGUCGGCUCUCGGGCCGCUUAUUUCCUCCUUUUACUUUGAAAAAAUUAGAGUGUUCAAAGCAAGGCGCUCGCCGGCCACUAGCGUCGGUGGGCAACUUUAAACCUUUUGAAUAGUCCAGCAUGGGAUAAUGAAACAAGACCUUUUUUUGAUUUUAUUGGUUCUGCAAAGUUUUAUUGGUAAUGAUUAAGAGGGACAGUUGGGGGUAUUUGUAUUUCACAGCUAGAGGUGAAAUUCUUGGAUUUGUGAAAGACAAACUUCUGCGAAAGCAUUUACCAAGGAUGUUUUCAUUGA
RNAcentral lists this ribosomal RNA (433 nucleotides) under uncultured eukaryote. RNAcentral describes it as "partial 18S ribosomal RNA". It matches the Rfam family "Eukaryotic small subunit ribosomal RNA", at positions 592 to 976 of the family's 1831-position model. The record is from RNAcentral.